RNAcentral lists this transfer RNA (72 nucleotides) under Geckolepis petiti. Its description in RNAcentral is "tRNA-Thr". It matches the Rfam family "tRNA". Rfam says of the family: Transfer RNA (tRNA) molecules are approximately 80 nucleotides in length. The record is from RNAcentral. Lineage: Eukaryota; Metazoa; Chordata; Lepidosauria; Squamata; Gekkonidae.
GCCCUAGUAGCUUAACACAAUAAAGCACUGGCCUUGUAAACCAAAGACGGGACAUACCACCCCCCAAGGGCA